CCUACGUGAGGCAGCAGUGAGGAAUAUUGGUCAAUGGGCGCGAGCCUGAACCAGCCAAGUAGCGUGAAGGAUGACUGCCCUACGGGUUGUAAACUUCUUUUAUAAAGGAAUAAAGUGAGGCACGUGUGCCUUUUUGUAUGUACUUUAUGAAUAAGGAUCGGCUAACUCCGUGCCAGCAGCCGCGGUAAUACGGAGGAUCCGAGCGUUAUCCGGAUUUAUUGGGUUUAAAGGGAGCGGAGACGGGUUGUUAAGUCAGUUGUGAAAGUUUGCGGCUAAACCGUAAAAUUGCAAUUGAUACUGGCAGUCUUGAGUACAGUUGAGGUAGGCGGAAUUCGUGGUGUAGCGGUGAAAUGCUUAGAUAUCACGAAGAACUCCGAUUGCGAAGGCAGCUUACUAAGCUGCCACUGACAUUGAUGCUCGAAAGUGUGGGUAUCAAACAGGAUUAGAUACCCUAGUAGUC
This 460-nucleotide ribosomal RNA is filed under the name uncultured bacterium. RNAcentral describes it as "partial 16S ribosomal RNA". It matches the Rfam family "Bacterial small subunit ribosomal RNA", at positions 338 to 795 of the family's 1533-position model. The record is from RNAcentral.